RNAcentral lists this small RNA (956 nucleotides) under Pongo abelii (Sumatran orangutan). RNAcentral's name for it is "processed transcript". Lineage: Eukaryota; Metazoa; Chordata; Mammalia; Primates; Hominidae. The record is from RNAcentral.
CCUAUUGGAUGACAAUUUUCACAUCUCCCGCUUCCCCCUCCAAAGAGUUCUACUUGUCCAAUUCUGAAAAGGAACGUUAUGAAAAAGAAUUCAGCCAAGAAAGACAACAAGAAAUUUUGAGAAGAGCAGCAAGAGCUUUACCUAUCUAUACCACAUCAGCUUCAAAAACUAUCAGAUAUUGUGAAAAAUGUCAGCUGAUUAAACCUGAUCGGGCACAUCACUGCUCAGCAUGUGACUCAUGUAUUCUUAAGAUGGAUCAUCACUGUCCUUGGGUGAAUAACUGUGUGGGAUUUUCUAAUUACAAAUUCUUCCUGCUGUUUUUAUUGUAUUCCCUAUUAUAUUGCCUUUUUGUGAAUGAACUGACAGAUACACGUGCAAAAUUCCACGUACUUUUUCUUUUCUUUGUGUCUGCAAUGUUCUUCAUCAGCGUCCUCUCACUUUUCAGCUACCACUGCUGGCUAGUUGGAAAAAAUAGAACAACGAUAGAAUCAUUCCGCGCACCCACGUUUUCAUACGGACCUGAUGGAAACGGUUUCUCUCUUGGAUGCAGUAAAAAUUGGAGACAAGUCUUUGGUGAUGAAAAGAAAUAUUGGCUACUUCCAAUAUUUUCAAGCUUGGGUGAUGGUUGCAGUUUUCCAACUCGCCUUGUGGGGAUGGAUCCAGAACAAGCUUCUGUUACAAACCAGAAUGAAUAUGCCAGAAGUAGUGGCUCAAAUCAGCCUUUUCCUAUCAAACCACUUAGUGAAUCAAAAAACCGCUUGUUGGACAGUGAAUCUCAGUGGCUGGAGAAUGGAGCUGAAGAAGGCAUCGUCAAAUCAGGUGUAUGAAAACAUUAUAGACUGAUAUUUUCAAUUUUCAUUUGCAAGAAAAUGAUCAAAGGAAUGAAAUAAUUGAAGUAUAACAGAAGUUAUAUUUUUUAAAACAGAAAGCCUUUGUACAGUUUCUGGGAUUCACAG